AGUGAACGCUGGCGGUAGGCCUAACACAUGCAAGUCGACCGGCAGCACAGUAAAAGCUUGCUCUUAGGGGUGGCGGGUGGCGGACGGGUGAGGAAUACAUCGGAAUUUCUUUUUUCGUGGGGGAUAACGUAGGGAAACUUACGCUAAUACCGCUUACGACCUACGGGUGAAAGCAGGGGACCUUGGGCCCUUGCGCGAUUGAAUGAGCGGAUGUCGGAUUAGCUAGUUGGCGGGGUAAAGGCCCACCAAGGCGACGAUCCGUAGCUGGUCUGAGAGGAUGAUCAGCCACACUGGAACUGAGACACGGUCCAGACUCCUACGGGAGGCAGCAGUGGGGAAUAUUGGACAAAGGGCGCAAGCCUGAUCCAGCCAUACCGCGUGGGUGAAGAAGGCCUUCGGGUUGUAAAGCCCUUUUGUUGGGAAAGAAAAGCAGCAGGUUAAUACCCCGCUGUUCUGACGGUACCCAAAGAAUAAGCACCGGCUAACUUCGUG
RNAcentral lists this ribosomal RNA (492 nucleotides) under uncultured bacterium. Its description in RNAcentral is "partial 16S ribosomal RNA". It matches the Rfam family "Bacterial small subunit ribosomal RNA", at positions 29 to 507 of the family's 1533-position model. The record is from RNAcentral.